GGGCUUGACAUCCCACGAACCUGCCUGAAAGGGCGGGGUGCCCGCAAGGGAGCGUGGAGACAGGUGGUGCAUGGCUGUCGUCAGCUCGUGUCGUGAGAUGUUGGGUUAAGUCCCGCAACGAGCGCAACCCUCACCCCUAGUUGCCACCGGGUAAAGCCGAGCACUCGAGGGGAACUGCCAGCGUCAAGCUGGAGGAAGGCGGGGAUGACGUCAAGUCAUCAUGCCCCUUACGUCCUGGGCUACACACGUGCUACAAUGGCCGGUACAAAGGGACGCGAGACCGCGAGGUGGAGCCAAUCCCAAAAAACUGGUCUAAGUUCAGAUUGCAGUCUGCAACUCGACUGCAUGAAGGAGGAAUCGCUAGUAAUCGCGCAUCAGCACGGCGCGGUGAAUACGUUCCCGGGCCUUGUACACACCGCCCGUCACACCACGAAAGCUGUCUGUACUCGAAGUCGCUGAG
Molecule: ribosomal RNA, 460 nt
Filed under: uncultured Methylomirabilota bacterium
Lineage: Bacteria; Methylomirabilota (SeqCode)
Description: bacterial SSU rRNA
Rfam family: Bacterial small subunit ribosomal RNA
Source: RNAcentral